CGCCAAAUAGACAAAUCGAAAAGGCCUUGGAUCGUUGAUAUUGAAAACUUAUCUACAAACCAAAUCAUCAAUUUCCAACUUGCUUCCUGAAUUUGCGGCAAUGGAUUACACAUUGGAUUACUACAGAUGUGGAAAAUGCCAAAGUACACACUACAGUUAACUCCUCAUUUAUGAAAAGCACCUCAAGUAUCGAGAGACCUCUGAUGAUGAAAGUUCCGACAAGGAAGAUGUUCCCCCUGAUGUUGAAUCCUCUCAGGGGGAAUCGGAUACUUCUGGAGACCUUAAUUCUGGAAACAACACCCAAAAUGAUUCUGAAAGUUCUGAAGGAGAAGGAGAGCGUAAAAGGAAGAAGGCCGAACGUAAAAAGAAAGCCAAAAAGGCCAGGUUGGAAAUUGAAGGAAACAGUACCUCGGACGAGGACAGCGAUCUGUCGAGCGCCUUUUCCGACUGCAGCCUCGACGAGGAUGACGAAGAGUAAAUGGCUAUGGGGAAGAGAAAAGGAGGAGAAAUUCAAGAGUCGAAAAAUUCAGAUUAAAGUGCCUUCAUAUGUGUGUGUUUGUGUUUAAAAAAUGUCUGUGUCUUUCUGUUACCUUCUCUCUUUUUCCAUGUAUCGUACCUUGUCAGCUUUCUUUACUUUCAAAUAAAUCACUUCAUCUCCA
Daphnia pulex (common water flea) is the source of this 659-nucleotide long non-coding RNA. RefSeq lists it as uncharacterized. The transcript has 4 exons. NCBI's taxonomy places the organism in Eukaryota, Metazoa, Arthropoda, Branchiopoda, Diplostraca, Daphniidae. The record is from RefSeq and is a predicted model, not a curated record.